UUAUACGCCCGUUUGAAAAACGGGACGUAUUAUGGGAACGCCCCUGGCAGGCGGGCCGGCGGCGUCCAAUUUUGUCCGGAGCAUAUCUCCUACAUGUAUGGAGGGAUUUUAAUGAAACUUCAUAGAAAUGUUCACCACUAUGAGGAGCAGUGUCGCGCACAUGAACCAGGUCUCUAGGUCAAAGGUCAAGGUCACACUUAGAGCUCAUUGAAAAAUGCUUGUCCGGAGCAAAACUUCCACAUGUAUAGAGGGAUUUCAAUAUUACUUGGCACAAAUGUUCACCAUUGUGAGGCGGAGUGUCGCGUGCAAGAUUCAGGUCCUUGCGGCCAAGGUCAAGGUCACACAUAGAGGUCAAAGUUCAGAUAAAAAUAUGAAGAUGUGUAUAUGGACCAUUUAGUCAUCAUUUAUUGAGGGAUUGUAACACAAAUGGUCAUUAUCAAGACUAUGGCUGUGAUACAUAUAAUUUAGGUCAAUAUAUACAAGGUCAAGGUCACACUUAGAGGUCAUUGAAAAAUGCUUGUCCGGAGCAAAACUUCCACAUGUAUAGAGGGAUUUCAAUAUUACUUGGCACAAAUGUUCACCAUUGUGAGGCGGAGUGUCGCGUGCAAGAUUCAGGUCCUUGCGGCCAAGGUCAAGGUCACACAUAGAGGUCAAAGUUCAGAUAAAAAUAUGAAGAUGUGUAUAUGGACCAUUUAGUCAUCAUUUAUUGAGGGAUUGUAACACAAAUGGUCAUUAUCAAGACUAUGGCUGUGAUACAUAUAAUUUAGGUCAAUAUAUACAAGGUCAAGGUCACUAAAGAUGAUGAAAUAUCCAGAUUUUGUAAAUAGAAUUUAAUCAAAGGGCGACAACAAAGUUAUUACUUUGUUCAUAAAUGACUUACACAAUUACUCCCCUUGAUCUACUUUCACUUUCAAUUCUAAAAAUAGAAUUUAAUCAAAGGGCAUAAAAUAAUCCUCUUUCUUGGACUUGAGUAUGUUCUAAAGAAUGUAACAUUUAUUUACACAUGUUUCAUUCAUUGGUCAAGAUUCUUAACUGUGAUAACUAUGGUGUUCUGUAGACUUGGUAUUUGUUCAUAAAGAUCAUACAGUAAUUACCUUAUCAAAUGUAAAUACUUUCCCAUAGAAAUUUAAUUAUAUUUUAAUUUUCAAGUAAAUAUCAGUUCAGCUCAUUCAAAGAUUAAGAAUUGUAAUGAAAUGUAUUUCCCUAGAAUAAAAUCUUAAAUCAGAA
Molecule: long non-coding RNA, 1227 nt
Organism: Ruditapes philippinarum (Manila clam)
Lineage: Eukaryota; Metazoa; Mollusca; Bivalvia; Venerida; Veneridae
Exons: 2
Source: RefSeq, a predicted model, not a curated record